UUGACCUCAAAUCGGGUGAGACUACCCGCUGAACUUAAG
Molecule: ribosomal RNA, 39 nt
Filed under: Lactifluus volemus
Lineage: Eukaryota; Fungi; Basidiomycota; Agaricomycetes; Russulales; Russulaceae
Also listed under: 13 other names
Description: Lactarius volemus partial 28S ribosomal RNA
Source: RNAcentral